This 492-nucleotide ribosomal RNA is filed under the name uncultured bacterium. Its description in RNAcentral is "partial 16S ribosomal RNA". It matches the Rfam family "Bacterial small subunit ribosomal RNA", at positions 29 to 507 of the family's 1533-position model. The record is from RNAcentral.
AGUGAACGCUGGCGGUAGGCCUAACACAUGCAAGUCGAACGGCAGCACAGUAAGAGCUUGCUCUUACGGGUGGCGAGUGGCGGACGGUUGAGGAAUACAUCGGAAUCUACUUUUUCGUGGGGGAUAACGUAGGGAAACUUACGCUAAUACCGCAUACGACCUACGGGUGAAAGCAGGGGAUCUUCGGACCUUGCGCGAUUGAAUGAGCCGAUGUCGGAUUAGCUAGUUGGCGGGUUAAAGGCCCACCAAGGCGACGAUCCGUAGCUGGUCUGAGAGGAUGAUACGACACACUGGAACUGAGACACGGUCCAGACUCCUACGGGAGGCAGCAGUGGAGAAUAUUGGACAAUGGGCGCAAGCCUGAUACAGCAAUACCGCGUGGGUGAAGAAGGCCUUAGGGUUGUAAAGCCCUUUUGUUGGGAAAGAAAAGCAGCAGGUUAAUACCCCGCUGUUCUGACGGUACCCAAAGAAUAAGCACCGGCUAACUUCGUG